RNAcentral lists this ribosomal RNA (252 nucleotides) under uncultured bacterium. Its description in RNAcentral is "partial 16S ribosomal RNA". It matches the Rfam family "Bacterial small subunit ribosomal RNA", at positions 524 to 776 of the family's 1533-position model. The record is from RNAcentral.
UACGUAGGGGGCAAGCGUUGUCCGGAAUUAUUGGGCGUAAAGCGCGCGCAGGCGGCCAUUUAAGUUUGGUGUAUAAGCCCGGGGCUCAACCCCGGACCGCACCGAAAACUGGGUGGCUUGAGUGCGGGAGAGGAAAGUGGAAUUCCACGUGUAGCGGUGAAAUGCGUAGAGAUGUGGAGGAACACCAGUGGCGAAGGCGACUUUCUGGACCGUAACUGACGCUGAGGCGCGAAAGCGUGGGGAGCAAACAGG